This 454-nucleotide ribosomal RNA is filed under the name uncultured organism. Its description in RNAcentral is "partial 16S ribosomal RNA". It matches the Rfam family "Bacterial small subunit ribosomal RNA", at positions 330 to 798 of the family's 1533-position model. The record is from RNAcentral.
CGUACACUCCUGCGGGAGGCAGCAGUGGGGAAUUUUACGCAAUGGGGGAAACCCUGACGUAGCGACACCGCGUGAGCGAAGAAGCCCUUUGGGGUGUAAAGCUCUGUCAGCUGGAACGAAAACAAUGACGGUACCAGCAGAGGAAGCAUCGGCUAACUACGUGCCAGCAGCCGCGGUAAGACGUAGGAUGCGAGCGUUGUCCGGAUUUAUUGGGCGUAAAGAGUUCGUAGGUGGUUUGUUAAGUUUGGUGUUAAAGAUCGGGGCUCAACCCUGGGACUGCACUGAAUACUGGCAGACUCGAGUGUGGUAGAGGCUAGUGGAAUUCCCAGUGUAGCGGUGAAAUGCGUAGAUAUUGGGAAGAACACCGGUGGCGUAGGCGACUAGCUGGGCCAUAACUGACGCUGAGGAACGAAAGCCAGGGGAGCGAAUGGGAUUAGAUACCCCGGUAGUCCCA